Molecule: ribosomal RNA, 255 nt
Filed under: uncultured bacterium
Lineage: Bacteria
Description: partial 16S ribosomal RNA
Rfam family: Bacterial small subunit ribosomal RNA
Source: RNAcentral
AACGGGGGGGGCAGGUGUUGCUCUUAUGGACUGGGCGUAAAGGGCACGUAGGCGGUUUGUCAAGUAUAAAAUUAAAGGCCAGGGCUUAACUUUGGUAAUCGUUUUUAUAUACUGACAAGCUUGGGUUACUUAAAGAAUGACCGAAUUUCCAGUGUAGGGGUUGAAUCCGGCGAUAUUGGAAAGACGAACAAAGGCGAAGGCAGUCUAUUACGUAGUAACCGACGCUGAGAGGCGAAAGCGUGGGGAGCGAACAGG